Molecule: ribosomal RNA, 900 nt
Filed under: Leuconostoc mesenteroides
Lineage: Bacteria; Bacillati; Bacillota; Bacilli; Lactobacillales; Lactobacillaceae
Description: bacterial SSU rRNA
Rfam family: Bacterial small subunit ribosomal RNA
Source: RNAcentral
GGUGCUUGCACCUUUCAAGUGAGUGGCGAACGGGUGAGUAACACGUGGACAACCUGCCUCAAGGCUGGGGAUAACAUUUGGAAACAGAUGCUAAUACCGAAUAAAACUUAGUGUCGCAUGACACAAAGUUAAAAGGCGCUUCGGCGUCACCUAGAGAUGGAUCCGCGGUGCAUUAGUUAGUUGGUGGGGUAAAGGCCUACCAAGACAAUGAUGCAUAGCCGAGUUGAGAGACUGAUCGGCCACAUUGGGACUGAGACACGGCCCAAACUCCUACGGGAGGCUGCAGUAGGGAAUCUUCCACAAUGGGCGAAAGCCUGAUGGAGCAACGCCGCGUGUGUGAUGAAGGCUUUCGGGUCGUAAAGCACUGUUGUAUGGGAAGAACAGCUAGAAUAGGAAAUGAUUUUAGUUUGACGGUACCAUACCAGAAAGGGACGGCUAAAUACGUGCCAGCAGCCGCGGUAAUACGUAUGUCCCGAGCGUUAUCCGGAUUUAUUGGGCGUAAAGCGAGCGCAGACGGUUUAUUAAGUCUGAUGUGAAAGCCCGGAGCUCAACUCCGGAAUGGCAUUGGAAACUGGUUAACUUGAGUGCAGUAGAGGUAAGUGGAACUCCAUGUGUAGCGGUGGAAUGCGUAGAUAUAUGGAAGAACACCAGUGGCGAAGGCGGCUUACUGGACUGCAACUGACGUUGAGGCUCGAAAGUGUGGGUAGCAAACAGGAUUAGAUACCCUGGUAGUCCACACCGUAAACGAUGAACACUAGGUGUUAGGAGGUUUCCGCCUCUUAGUGCCGAAGCUAACGCAUUAAGUGUUCCGCCUGGGGAGUACGACCCGCAAGGUUGAAACUCAAAGGAAUUGACGGGGACCCGCACAAGCGGUGGAGCAUGUGGUUUAAUUCGAAGCAA